AGGAGCAUGUGGUUUAAUUCGAUGAUACGCGAGGAACCUUACCUGGCUCGAACGUAAGAGUGACUGUAGGUGAAAGCUUACAUCUCUUCGGAGCAUUUUACGAGGUGCUGCAUGGUUGUCGUCAGCUCGUGCCGUGAGGUGUCGGGUUAAGUCCCAUAACGAGCGCAACCCCUACCUUUAGUUGCCAUCAGGUUAAGCUGGGGACUCUAAAGGAACUGCCUACGCAAGUAGUGAGGAAGGCGGGGAUGACGUCAAAUCAGCACGGCCCUUACGUCCAGGGCUACACACGUGCUACAAUGGCCGAUACAGAGGGCAGCUACCUGGUGACAGGAUGCAAAUCUCCAAAGUCGGUCUCAGUUCGGAUCGGAGUCUGCAACCCGACUCCGUGAAGUUGGAUUCGCUAGUAAUCGCGCAUCAGCCAUGGCGCGGUGAAUACGUUCCCGGGCCUU
Molecule: ribosomal RNA, 449 nt
Filed under: uncultured Sphingobacteriales bacterium
Lineage: Bacteria; Pseudomonadati; Bacteroidota; Sphingobacteriia; Sphingobacteriales
Description: bacterial SSU rRNA
Rfam family: Bacterial small subunit ribosomal RNA
Source: RNAcentral